RNAcentral lists this unclassified non-coding RNA (337 nucleotides) under Hevea brasiliensis (rubber tree). The record is from RNAcentral. Lineage: Eukaryota; Viridiplantae; Streptophyta; Magnoliopsida; Malpighiales; Euphorbiaceae.
GGGGAAGAGUUCUUUUGGAAAAGUGACAAUCCAGAUUGAUCGGGUCGUAAUGCUAGGAGCAGUUGCUGGGGAGUAUACUUUGUUGCCAGAAAGCAAAAGUGGGCCCUUAAGGAAUUUGGAAAUAGAAUUCCAGUGGUCCAACAAACCCACUAACAAUGAUGCAGCCACAAAUUGAAUUUUAGGGAGAAAACAAUGUCCCAGUAUAGAUUCUUUUUUUUUUUUAAUUAUUAUUAUGAUUAUCUGAGUGCUGCUAGACAUGGUUGUUGGCAAGACUCAAAGGAUAUGUGUUGUAAAUAGACCCAGCCACAUUUUGGUCUAAAAUCAGAAUUGAAUUAAA